GUGCUUGCUUCAGUAGUACAUAUACUGAAAUCGGAACACUAGCAUGGCCCCUGCACAAGGUUGACAUAAAAAUUCCUGAGCUACACAUUCCCUUG
Vulpes vulpes (red fox) is the source of this 95-nucleotide small nuclear RNA. The record is from Ensembl. Lineage: Eukaryota; Metazoa; Chordata; Mammalia; Carnivora; Canidae.